GACGAACGCUGGCGGCGUGCCUAAUACAUGCAAGUUGAGCGAUGAAGCUUGGUGCUUGCACCAAUUUGAAGAGCAGCGAACGGGUGAGUAACGCGUGGGGAAUCUGCCUUUGAGCGGGGGACAACAUUUGGAAACGAAUGCUAAUACCGCAUAACAACUUUAAACAUAAGUUUUAAGUUUGAAAGAUGCAAUUGCAUCACUCAAAGAUGAUCCCGCGUUGUAUUAGCUAGUUGGUGAGGUAAAGGCUCACCAAGGCGAUGAUACAUAGCCGACCUGAGAGGGUGAUCGGCCACAUUGGGACUGAGACACGGCCCAAACUCCUACGGGAGGCAGCAGUAGGGAAUCUUCGGCAAUAGACGAAAGUCUGACCGAGCAACGCCGCGUGAGUGAAAAAGGUUUUCGGAUCGUAAAACUCUGUUGGUAGAGAAGAACGUUGGUGAGAGUGGAAAGCUCAUCAAGUGACGGUAACUACCCAGAAAGGGACGGCUAACUACGUG
This 497-nucleotide ribosomal RNA is filed under the name uncultured bacterium. Its description in RNAcentral is "partial 16S ribosomal RNA". It matches the Rfam family "Bacterial small subunit ribosomal RNA", at positions 28 to 507 of the family's 1533-position model. The record is from RNAcentral.